GGAUUGGUUUUUUGUUUUGUUGUUUUUUUCUGCGACCAGAUGGCAGCAGAGAAACUUGGAAGGUGUUCAUGGAUGUUACACGCAUGAAUUAGUGGGCAGAGCUUCCAUUGCACAUUUCCAUCAUCGUCCUGUUCCGGGUGAUGCAAUA
Syngnathus acus (greater pipefish) is the source of this 148-nucleotide long non-coding RNA. RefSeq lists it as uncharacterized. The transcript is spliced from 3 exons. The record is from RefSeq and is a predicted model, not a curated record. Lineage: Eukaryota; Metazoa; Chordata; Actinopteri; Syngnathiformes; Syngnathidae.